ACUUGUGGUCAAGGUCCAACCUCACGUGUCCUGUAUGCGAUAAAAGAGGGAUGCGUGUGGUCAGACCUAGCCCACAAGC
This is a microRNA precursor of Anolis carolinensis (green anole), 79 nucleotides long. It matches the Rfam family "mir-2188 microRNA precursor family". The record is from Rfam. NCBI's taxonomy places the organism in Eukaryota, Metazoa, Chordata, Lepidosauria, Squamata, Anolidae.